Molecule: long non-coding RNA, 6034 nt
Organism: Acanthochromis polyacanthus (spiny chromis)
Lineage: Eukaryota; Metazoa; Chordata; Actinopteri; Pomacentridae
Exons: 3
Source: RefSeq, a predicted model, not a curated record
GGCAGGUUGAUGGUCCCACCAAUUCUGUUCUUGAGUGCCCCAGGGCUGUCUUGUCAGUUUCUGAAGUACUCAAAGCUGCGUCAUCAGUUUCUGAGAGGCUGAUCGCUGCUUUUACCCUUGUGGAGGCUAAGACAACCCCUUCAGCUCUUGAGGCACUUAAAAUCACCAUUUCUGGGUGUGAGGUGCUCCAAGCCAACUAUAUGGCCCACGAGGAGUCUUUGGACUUCUCUGCGGACCCUGGGGUGCUCGACGCCGCCUCAUCCCCAGUCCUGGAGGGACUCGACACCGCCUCACCCCCAGUCCUGGAGGCUCCACUCUGUGAAUUUUUCAGUUCUCACUGGCUAUACAUUACAUUAAAUAUUUAGAUCCGGAUAUUGAGCUCUGUGGUAAGUUGAUGCCGCAGUGUGGAGUGCAGUGGUUAAAUGGUGAGGUGAAUCCUUGGGUCCCUGGUAUUUUAAGAAUGAAUGUGAUAGCAGACUCUAUGGAGAGUUCUUUGGCCAACACAGCUCCACCUUGUUUAAUUUGCCAGAAGGUGCUGGGGCUCAAGAGUCUGUCUUGCAGGCAUUGAAAAAUGCCUUCAGGCUAGUGUAAAGGCCCCUCAAGUUGUCACUGGUUAGGUGAGGGUUUGGGGCAGGAAGGCUUGUCACGUACCUGGUGUUGUGAUGAAGAUUGUUGCAGUCACCUGCUCAGAGAAAUACUCCCACAGCACUGUGUUGUUUGAGCCGCUGAAAUUUGGCUCACCAACUGAGCUCCUUGCUUCUCUUACUGUGAUCUGGGUGAUUUGGGGCACAGCUUACAUCCCAAUAAUUCGUGUCAGUUCAACUGAUGUCCUGCUCCAUCCCUGUACCAUUGUUGGCACUUUGGAUGAGGUUCAUGUUGCUAUUUUACCUGCAGGAGUUAGAAAGGUGUCAUCAGAUGUGGUAACAGCAGCAUCUCACUCUGCUGUGUCUCAUGCUGUGCUAGACCAGGUAGAAGCCACGGACCUGUCAUCAUUGCCUGUAAAUGGGCAGUGUCAGGUGAAGUCUCUGCUUAGGAAAUACACAUCCGUCUUUCCUGGCCUCAGUGGAGAUUUGGGUUGCACUAAUUUAAUAGCUCAAGAAAUCCCUCUCUUAGAUAAUGUCCCAGUUAGGCAAUGCUACAGGCAUAUUCCUCCAUCAGAGUAUGAGGUAGUAAAAGAGCAUAUUGCUCUACUCCUGGAGACACAGGUGAUCCACGAGAACAGCAGCCCAUAUGCCUCCCCUAUUAUAUUAGUCAGGAAAAAGGAUGGCAGUCUACGCAUGUGUGUAGACUAUAGACAACUAAACAGUAAGACGAGGAAGGACACUUUCCCUCUUCCUUGCAUAGAGGAAUCCUUGGAUGCGCUUACAGGUACUUGUUAGUUUUGCACCAUGGACCUGGCUAGUGGGUACAACCAGAUUCCAGUUGCUGAGGCAGACCGACCUGAAAUUCCAUUCUGCAUGCCCUUUUGGCUGUUCAAGUGGAAUUGCACUCCCUUUGGACUUUAUAAUGCCCCCAGUACUUUUCAGAGGUUAAUACAGCAGAUAUUUAGGAACUAGCAAUGCCAGUCUUUGCUUCUCUACCUUGAUGACAUUGUGGUCUUUUCCUCCACAAUAGAGCAGCAUCUGGAGAGGUUGGAGGCGGUGUUGAGGUGACAUCAGCAGGAGGGUUUCUAAGCAAAGCUGACCAAAUGAAGCAUUUUCUAGUUGGAGGUUCAUUACCUGGGCCAUGUGAUUUCUCUUUAUAAACUGGUAGCCAUUCUGGAAGGCUCCAAAUUGAAGAGAGGUGAAUGGGCUGCCACUGAAUCCUGGACAGAGGAGUGCCAUCACAGCUUUGAGGCCCUGAAAAAUAACCUCACCAUUGCACCGGUGCUGGCUUAUGUUGACUUUUCCUUGCUGUUGUUGGAGCUCAAUCCCAAUCUACCGGCAAAAUAGAGAUAGCUCCUGCACGUUCGUUGAAUGAAGCAAUAGGAGAAGGUAUUUAGGUCUUACUAUAAAUGUUUAUUUAGCAGAAGAUUGAAUAUAACAGAACAAAAUUCUGGGUCCAGAGUUCUUUCCCUAACAGCAACAGAGACACUGUCAGUUCAUGAAGUCUGACUACACCUAGUUUCACCCUGACCCAGACUUAUACACUACUACAACAUCAUGCAAGCUCUUUUGGUGUCCUCUCCCUCUGAUUGGCUGCUUCUCUCAUCCUGUGUCUGCUCGUGCACAGCUCAUGACUGCGCUCCUUGUUCUCCUUCUCACCUCAGGGUGGGGGCAACCCUUCCCCUGAACCGCUGAGCGGGUCCUGGUUGUGUAGUCUUCAACGUGAGAUACUGCCCUUAUUGAUCUCUGAAGCACAGAUGUUCACCCAGGCCCAGACACCCAGUGCUUUUCCACUACAGCAUAUUACUCUAAGUUACAGCGACUGAUAUAUGUUUGUGAACUAUCCUAAACUUCUACAACGGGUUAAUUAAUAAAAGUUAAGUAAGGCACAAUAAUCCAACAACUAAAACAGCUAAGAUGCAAACGCUGUGUUUACCAGUGAAGAAGUAAACACACAGCGAGAGAAUUCUCAAGUCCAUUCCAGGAAGGUUCUAAAAUGGUGUAAUCAAUGGCUAGAAUCUCAUUUGUUCUGGAAGCUAGCAAGUGGCCCAUGAAACUAUGAGCACCUGGCUGAGUAUCCUUGGCAACCUGGCACCUGUCACAUGCCUGAAUCCACUGUUCCACCUCUGAGGACAUAUCUGGCCAGUAACACCAAGCCCAUAGUAGCUCCAGUGUCCUUUCUACACCUUGAUUACCAUGCAACUGGUGAACCUGGUUCAGCAUCUCCUCUUUUAGAACAGCAGGCAGCAACAAUUGCAGCACAGCUCCAUCCAGGUGAAGGAUCUGGCAGGACAGGAUACCAGUCUUCUCAACCAGCCAGUCGCAGUAAUGCCAAUGCAGGCUGCGACAUCUGCUUCCGCUUCUCAUGGUUGGAACACCGCUUCUGUCUCCAAAACACCAAGCUUCGCCGUUGCCUGACUGGCUGCUGCGUAGCUGAGAAUAAAGGAGCAGUAAUAAUAAUGGUGAAACUACAACUCCUGCCUCAUGGUAUAACAGACCUGUGUCUGUGUGCCUCUGAAGUCGCUGCCAGAGGUGGAACAAUUCUUUGGGUGAAAUUCAUAAGGUGGCAUUGCCGGUCAUUGCUGAGCUAUUGAGCGAGUUUACACUCGUUCUGGAUCCAAUCUCCACCAUAUUUUUAUUUAACCCCUUGCUACUGCCACAUUCAGUAUUUCUGAAACAUAUUUGUCAAUUUGGGUAAUGUUUGAUAAGUCAUUUUGAGUCAUGUUUGAGUCAUCAUGUAUGAAUCAUUUCAGAUAAUGUUUGAGCCAUUUUAGUUUAUGUUUGAGUCAUUUUUGAUCAUGUACAUGUCAUCUUAAACUGUCUCUGGUGUUUCUGUGGAUGAUUCACAGUAACUCUGGCUCUGAGGGGGGAUGUUUAAUGUCUUACUGUUGUAUGGUUUCAGUGAAGUGACCCCUUGAGAAUACAUACUGUAACAAAGACGAACAAUUCUUGACUGUUGCACCCCUCCAUUUGGAGUGGUACAUUCCACCCCGUCUAAGUUGGUAUGCUCCAGCCCUGGUGCAGUUGAGAAGACGGUGUUCAUCUCGUUAGCUUCUCGUAGCUCUGUGUACAUGCUGUUGUGUGCGUCAAUUGAAAGAAUACCACACACACAUACGGCAUUCUGUACACCUAGUUGGACUUUGUCAAUAAAGUCUCUGAAGCGGAACACGUGGACAGUCUGUGAUUUGAUCGAUCACACCAGUGGUGGUUGGUGAAUUCCGAACCAUAAGAAUUGGAAAGGAGCCGUUGCGCUAUACUUUCUUUUACAUACAGUGGAAACUGAGUAUCUGAGUCAAAUCCAGGGGCCUGUUUCACAAAGCAGGUUCAUUGAAAACUCUGAGUUUCUUAACCCUGAAAUGAGGGAAACUCAGAGUUUUCCGUUUUACGAAGCGAGGUAACUCUAACCAGAGACAGAGGGGUAACUCUAGCCUGUUUCACAAAGAGGGGUAACUUCAACUCUCGGUCAGUUACCGCAGUAACAGACUCUAUGACUCUAACCUGGUCGGCAGCAGGUUUAUCUGAGAAAACCUCGAGUUUCUCUCUGUCUCCGCCCUCUUUCAGCCACACACGCUGUUUCAUUUCCUCAUUCAUUCAGUCAGUAAGCGAGCGAGUUUUGGCGUAGAACAGCUUUUAUUAACGAUCCAGUGGAUAAAGGAGCAGCAUUACUGCACAGAUAAUUAAAUAUUCGUCGGUAGAUUGUUAUCAGACCGCGCAUAAAUGUUCUCGCAUUUCCGGGCAAUUAUCGGUUUGAGCUAGCCUAGCCGCGCUAGACAACCCACGGCAACGAAUUUAAUUCUCUGCCAGGGUGGGUCUAGUUACCCUCCAUAAGGCUCGAGGCUGGAUUCUCCUAAAACUGGCCGGACCAAUCACCAUGAAGUGUAGAGUCAGAAGGCGGGCGUAACGAAGUGACGACGGGGCGCGACGAUUCUGACAGAAACAACCGGCGCACAAUAAACAGUUAUCUUUGGACUCGGCUUUGGCCACAGCCCUUAAAGAUUUGAAGCUAAAAUUCAACUUGAAAGAUAAACAAAGGACGGCACUGAAGUGUUUCAUUGAGAAGAAAGACGUAUUUGGACUUAUGCCGACGGGAUAUGGCAAAUCCUUAAUAUACCAGUUGGCUCCGCUGGUUGGGAACCUAAUGGGACUUAGCCACAAUCCGCCGGUGCUCUCGGAACUACGUCAGUCUAUUCGUUGCGCUGAUUGGUUGUAUACCUACCCAAUUGCUGCAGAGGGAUUUGAUAGACAACCUUUUAGCCCACCUCCCUCCCUGUCGAGCUUCCCUAGACCCUUGUGCCGUCAGAAACAUGGGUGUAGCAUGGCUAGGCUAGGUUUGAGCGGUACCGUUUCUUAAUCGUUUCAAGUCCAUAAUCUACAUAAACAACCUAAUCCGUCCUUACAUUUACAUUACCAACCAGUCAUGCUCUCACAUCCAGCAGAUAUUGUGUGUUGCGCUGCGGUUCUUUGCAAAUGAAAGUUUUUAUUAUAAUAAUAAUGUCGGAGAUGCAGAGUAAGGCAACUGUAUGGAGGACAGUCAGAAAAGUUUUCCUGGCCCUGAAACGGCUUUAACUCAUCAUUGUGGUUUUCCUGGACAUAAACCUGUCAGAGCAUCAAGGAGGAUCCACAGGAUUACAGGUGAAUGAUGUAGAGAUCUGUUAAAUUCAUUUUAAAUCAUAUUCUGUUAAUGACAUUGUGCUGCAGCCUCAGACUGGGAUUAGUCAUUUUAAUUUCUUUUAGGAUUUCCCAGUGUGAUUGGCUGCAUAGAUGCACACACAUCCCCAUCACAGCUCCCUCACAUCAUGAACAGGAAGUCCAUUCACAGCAUAAAUGUGCAGAUCAUAUGUGAUGCUGCAUACAUCAUUUCUAAUGUGGAGGCCACGUGGUCUGGGUCUGUUCAUGACUCCAGGAUUUAUGGAGAGUCUAACCUGAGCAACAGACUGCAGCGUGGUCAGCAGCAUAAAGAUUUUCACAAUAGAAUUCUCUUGUCUCCCUCCUUUAAUAUGCUCUGAUGUAUCCACUAUACAUUACAGGAGAGUUUGAUGGCCUUCUGCUGGGUGACAGGGGUUACCAUGACAACCCAGGCUGAUGACCUCAUACCCUGACCCUGAACCAGGCCCCCAACAGAACUUCAACCGGACUCACUGCAGGACCAGAGCCCGGGUGGAGAUGACCAUAGGCCUGCUGAAAGCCCGUUUCCAGAGCCUACGUCUCCUCAGGGUGACCCCUGAGAGGGCCUGUGAUAUUACUGUGGCAUGUGUUGUUCUUCAUAAUAUUACCACUAUUAGAGGAGAGCAACACCCUGCCCUACAAACUGAAGACCCAGAUGAUGAGCCCAUCCACCUGCAGCUAUCCAGGACAGCAGAGCAGUCAGAGACACCGUAUGCAAGAAUCACUUUAGAGUUUAAGUCUCCAUCAUCACCACCACAGCAAAUAAAGACAUGAUACACAUUUCA